CGGACUGUGGUCUGCAGCCCGACCACACGAAGCUGGAAUCGCUAGUAAUCGCGAAUCAGAAUGUCGCGGUGAAUACGUUCUCGGGUCUUGUACACACCGCCCGUCACACCAUGGGAGUCAGCAACGCCCGAAGUCAGUGACCUAACCGAAAGGGAGGAGCUGCCGAAGGCGGGGCCGGUAACUGGGGUGAAGUCGUAACAAGGUAAC
RNAcentral lists this ribosomal RNA (207 nucleotides) under uncultured bacterium. RNAcentral's name for it is "partial 16S ribosomal RNA". It matches the Rfam family "Bacterial small subunit ribosomal RNA", at positions 1294 to 1500 of the family's 1533-position model. The record is from RNAcentral.